GAUCUCAAGUGAAGCGAGACUACCCCCUGAAUUUAAGCAUAUUAUUAAGGGGAGGAAAAGAAAAUAACAAUGAUUCCCCUAGUAACGGCGAGUGAAGCGGGAAGAGCUCAAAUUUGAAAUCUGGUAGACUCAGUCUAUCCGAGUUGUAAUCUAUAGAAGCAGUUUCCGUGCUGGCCCAUGUACAAGUCCCUUGGAACAGGGCGUCAUAGAGGGUGAGAAUCCCGUUCUUGACAUGGACUACCAGUGCUUUGUGAUCUGUUUUCAACGAGUCGAGUUGUUUGGGAAUGCAGCUCAAAUUGGGUGGUAAAUUCCAUCUAAAGCUAAAUAUUGGCGAGAGACCGAUAGCGAACAAGUACCGUGAGGGAAAGAU
This 370-nucleotide ribosomal RNA is filed under the name Ctenophora environmental sample. Its description in RNAcentral is "partial Eukaryotic large subunit ribosomal RNA". It matches the Rfam family "Eukaryotic large subunit ribosomal RNA", at positions 1 to 365 of the family's 3401-position model. Lineage: Eukaryota; Metazoa; Ctenophora. The record is from RNAcentral.